Long non-coding RNA from Bacillus rossius redtenbacheri, 528 nucleotides. RefSeq lists it as uncharacterized. The transcript is spliced from 3 exons. Lineage: Eukaryota; Metazoa; Arthropoda; Insecta; Phasmatodea; Bacillidae. The record is from RefSeq and is a predicted model, not a curated record.
CCUCACUUCCUAUUGUCUAUGAAUAUUUGUUUUUUUAAUUAUUUGUUCAGUGGAAUUGAACUAAAAAAACAAGCAGACGUUUCGUUUUGUAUGGAAGCAUCGGUGUUAGCUGCCUCUGGGAAGUUAGUGAAGAAAUAUUUCUGGGUGGUGUUUUUCCCAACAUUCACGACAGGCACCAUCUGGGCUGACUGGCAACGCACCAGGAAGUGGAAACUUCAAAAGGCUGCUGCAUUGAAAAAUAAUUGGGAAUAAUCUAGAAACUGCAACAUGGCUAAUUUGUUUGGAUUCACAAAGCAGUGGUUCUUGGUAGUGAUCCCGAUGACCGGGUAUGGAAUCGGCUGGUUCUUGGACCGCAAAGAGACUGAGCGCAUGACGAUGUUCAGGGACAAGAGCGCUCUGUACGGUCGAGAGUUGCAGCCCGGGGAAGCACCAUCAUGGCCCUGAACAAUUAAUUGACUGUGUAAAGCUGUGUAUUUAUAUUGUCCAAAUUUAGUCUAUUAAACACUGUAAAUAAAGUUAUUGAUUGAA